AUAUUACUAAGGGGAGGAAAAGAAACUAACAAGGAUUCCCCCAGUAACGGCGAGUGAAGCGGGAAGAGCUCAAACUAGUGUAACAACCAGUGGAGUUGUAGCCUAGAGACGCUCUCUCAGUGCUAGACCGGCUAUAAGUCUCCUGGAAUGGGGCAUCAUAGAGGGUGAGAAUCCCGUCUUUGAGCUGGAUCUAAGUGCGUACGAGGGGUGUUCCAAGAGUCGCGUUGCUUGGGAGUGCAGCGCUAAAUGGGUGGUAAAGUUCAUCUAAAGCCAAAGACCGGCGAGAAACCGCUAGCGAACAAGUACCGUGAGGGAAAGAUGAAAAGAACUUUGAAAAGAGAGUUAAAAAGUACUUGAAAUUGUUAACAGGUAAGGGCAGGAAACCAGUAAUUCCUGGGCACAUUUGCGGACGCCGAAAGGCUGCUGUUACUUGUGUUUGGGAGAGUCAUCAUCAUUUAGAACCGUUGGAGAAAGCGUUUGGAUUGGUGCGCUUCGGAAACGAUUCGUUUUAGUCCUUACGUCCUACAUUGGUUCUGAAUGAGGAUGAAAACCCGCACGCCUAAUACGCGUACGGCACUCUUUGG
Molecule: ribosomal RNA, 584 nt
Filed under: uncultured fungus
Lineage: Eukaryota; Fungi
Description: eukaryotic LSU rRNA
Rfam family: Eukaryotic large subunit ribosomal RNA
Source: RNAcentral